RNAcentral lists this microRNA precursor (76 nucleotides) under Branchiostoma floridae (Florida lancelet). RNAcentral's name for it is "mir-4872 microRNA precursor family". It matches the Rfam family "mir-4872 microRNA precursor family". Lineage: Eukaryota; Metazoa; Chordata; Leptocardii; Amphioxiformes; Branchiostomatidae. The record is from Rfam by way of RNAcentral.
UCACAUGUAGUGCCGAGGUAACUAAAACUCUGCGUUUUGUUAGCUUCAGAGUUUUGUUACCCCGGCUCUCUGUGGA